Molecule: non-coding RNA, 2390 nt
Organism: Equus caballus (horse)
Lineage: Eukaryota; Metazoa; Chordata; Mammalia; Perissodactyla; Equidae
Source: RefSeq, a predicted model, not a curated record
UCAGCCUAGUUUCUCAGCCUGUUUGUCUCCACUCCUUUUCAGCUGUCACGCAACAAGGAAGCCAGUCGUAUCUGGUGAUAGCCUAUCAUCCUUUGCUGACUGGAUGGGCGCCAGGCCUGAAUGUUUUAUGUCCUCCCCAAAAUUCACUUGUUGAAAUCCUAACCUCUGAUGUGGUGGUACUAGGAGACGGGGCUUGGGGAGGUGCUUGGGUCAUGAGGGUGGAGCUCUCCUGAGUGGGAUAAGUGCCUUAUAAAAGAGACUCCAGAGAGCUCCUCAGCCCCUUCCGCGAUGUGAGGACACAGUGAAAAGGCUAUGAACCAGGAAGAGAGCUCCCACUAGAACGUGACCGUGAGGUGCCUUGAUCAUGGAUUUCCCACCACCAGAACUGUCUAAGGACUAAGGCAGUGCCCGGCAUGCUGCAAAGAUCAACUAAUGCUUGCUGAAUGCAACUGAUUCAGAGUCCUCACUGGCCACUAUGCCAGCGACUGGACCUGCUGGCCACCUGGCUGAUGGAAGACAUGAUGUGGCAUAAAACAUUAUGAAGGAUAUUAAGUUGUGUUUGAAGAAUCCUAGCCAGCUGUCUUCUAGAAUGUCCCACUUUCCGGCCUCUUCUGGUUGUUUCCUCCCCAUUGGACUUGGGUUAAACAUUUUGGCAAGAACACUUGCUUGGUGUGUGUACGCAGUGGGCCUCUCACUGAUUUUGGUGACGUAGAGUUUGAUCUCUUGGUUAAGGCGGUUUCCUUCAGAUCUAUAAACGUGUUUUCCACUUUACAACUAAUAAGUAAUUAGUGAGGUAAUUCUUUGAGACUGUGUCGUAUCCUGCCCCCUAAAGACAUUCCACGUGGUGGAUUUAUCAGCCGGUGAUGAUCCUCAUAUCUGUUGAUCACCAGUUCUCACAAUAACGGUUGCAUUGCACCACUUUUCCAAUUCUAUCAUUUCUCCUGCCUUUAUAAGUUACCAUUUUUCUGCACAGAGCAACUUCCAUUUCCCGUUUCUCUCUCCUCUGCCUCUCUCUUUCUGUAUGACUGUAGACUCAUGGAUUUUCUAAUUCAAUGUGUUAUAAUUCAUCAUUGUUAUUAUUCUUUUGAAUGCUCAGAUGGCCCAAAUAUGGCCAAGGGGAACAUCCUUUCAAGUCAAUUCCUGUGUCCUUUGACAUAUCCUUAUCAUUCUUUGAACACUUCCUUGCUUCCUGGCCCAAGAUGUCCCAAGUUCAUUUUGAAUUUAUGCUGCCUUAGACCUAGAAUAAACUAUUUUUCCCCCAAACCAUGCAAUUGUUUUUGAACAAGGAAGGGAUAUGACCAAUAAUUGAUUUUGGAAGAUUGCUCUGGCAGUGGUGGCAUACCAGCUGGAAGUGAGAGAACCCAAAAAUAAGGAUUCCAAGUGGAGACAACUUCAAGUUGAGAGGACAAAGACUUGGAGGAAAGGACAUUAAGGAGGAAAUGAACGCCUGGAAAUGGACUGAAAGAAAAAUUCUGGAGUUUGGGACUUGGAUGUAAAGGAGACAGAAUAGGGAUGCCAAGAAGGGUAGUUGAGUUUGGGAGAAAAGUUGUUAGUUUUAGAAAUGUUGAUUUCAAGUGAGAGUAGCACGGCCACACAGAAACAUACAAUAGCCUGUUGAUGAUAAAUUCAAAAGCUGAGACCAGAAAAAAGAACAACAAACUUGUGAUUUUAGGGAUAAAAGAUACCUGAAAUUAUAUUUCUCAUACUGAUUUUAAUGGAGUUUGCCCCAUCACAAGGUGAGAUAAACAGAGCUACUUUUUUUUUUUUUUUUACCGUGGAUUACUGUUAGUUAUACUUUAUAAAGAAAAUUUACCUGUUCACCAAUGCCAUCUUUGCAAAAGGAGGAAGGAUAUUUUGAAAAGAUUAAGCUCAUUCUUCACCAAAUUUACUCUUAAGCAGUUCACUGGAAAUAUCAGUGAAGGAUUCAUUCAUUUCGGGAAAUUGGCAAUCAUGGCACAACAUACACGUAUGUGCACAGACACAAAUUACGUGCAGCGUGUGAUAGAGAUCAUUGCACAAGCCAGGGAAGUCUCAAAAUAAAAUGGGAAUGAGAAUCUCUCUGAGUCACAGUUUCAACACUUACUUCCCCUAGCCCAAAGCCCUCAGUUUUGCCAAUUCCUCACGAAUUUACUGUUUCUUUAUCGAAAAGGUGUAGAAGCUUGCUGCUCUGGUCACUUCCUCAGGUCUUCAUUCUUACGCGAACUCUCCCAAGUACAUAUAAAAAUUCAAUAAAAUUUUUAUGCUUUUUUUCCUAAUUGUUUUACGUCACUUUAAUUUUCAGACCCAGCCAGGGACCCUAAGAAGGUCAAACUUUCCCCUGACUAAAAAGUGAAUCUUGGGGCCAGCCCCGUGGCGUGGUGGCUAAAUUCUGUGUGUUCUGCUUCUGUGGC